UGGUGGAUCAGUGGCGAACGGGUGAGUAACACGUGNGCAACCUGCCCUGGACUCUGGGAUAAGCGCUGGAAACGGCGUCUAAUACUGGAUAUGAGCCUCUUCCGCAUGGUGGGGGUUGGAAAGAUUUUUUGGUCUGGGAUGGGCUCGCGGCCUAUCAGCUUGUUGGUGAGGUAAUGGCUCACCAAGGCGUCGACGGGUAGCCGGCCUGAGAGGGUGACCGGCCACACUGGGACUGAGACACGGCCCAGACUCCUACGGGAGGCAGCAGUGGGGAAUAUUGCACAAUGGGCGAAAGCCUGAUGCAGCAACGCCGCGUGAGGGAUGACGGCCUUCGGGUUGUAAACCUCUUUUAGCAGGGAAGAAGCGAAAGUGACGGUACCUGCAGAAAAAGCGCCGGCUAACUACGUGCCAGCAGCCGCGGUAAUACGUAGGGCGCAAGCGUUAUCCGGAAUUAUUGGGCGUAAAGAGCUCGUAGGCGGUUUGUCGCGUCUGCUGUGAAAUCCCGAGGCUCAACCUCGGGCCUGCAGUGGGUACGGGCAGACUAGAGUGCGGUAGGGGAGAUUGGAAUUCCUGGUGUAGCGGUGGAAUGCGCAGAUAUCAGGAGGAACACCGAUGGCGAAAGGCAGAUCUCUGGGCCGUAACUGACGCUGAGAGCGAAAGGGNGGGGAGCAAACAGGCUUAGAUACCCUGGUAGUCCACCCCGUAAACGUUUGGGAACUAGUUGUGGGG
This 729-nucleotide ribosomal RNA is filed under the name Microbacterium hydrothermale. RNAcentral's name for it is "bacterial SSU rRNA". It matches the Rfam family "Bacterial small subunit ribosomal RNA", at positions 85 to 827 of the family's 1533-position model. The record is from RNAcentral. Lineage: Bacteria; Bacillati; Actinomycetota; Actinomycetes; Micrococcales; Microbacteriaceae.